This 978-nucleotide long non-coding RNA is filed under the name Glycine max (soybean). RNAcentral describes it as "long non-coding RNA (GMAX_LNC003339)". Lineage: Eukaryota; Viridiplantae; Streptophyta; Magnoliopsida; Fabales; Fabaceae. The record is from RNAcentral.
UUGCUGUGUGUGCACUGGAUUUGACUGCCUUGUAUCCCAGUAUCUAAAAGUAGCCAAAAAGACUCAUGUGGAGAGGACAGAAGCAUCAGAUCAAGCAAAAUUGUUAGCUUUCAUACCAUAUUUAAUAAGAAGGAUACAAUACAUAUCAGCAUCACAAAAUACUAAUCCCAUAAUGUGCAAAGGUAAUAGGAAACACUUGAUGCAUGGAACAAAAAUCAGACUAAACUGAAGAGCUUAUUGGACUGUUACAUAAACAAGGAAGAAGAUAUUACAUUGUAAUGAUCAUUAGUGGAAAUUUCCUGGCAAGCAAAAUAUAUUCAGAAAGAACUACAACUUCUCCAAAAAUCAAGAAUGGCAUUUGCUUCAAGCUACAAAAGAACUUAGGAGAACCCAAAAUAAUUUGAAUUUUCAAAUUGAAAUUUGAAAGUAAGGCUGGUGUAUCAUACAGCCAAGGAAAAGGAACUCGGCAGCAGAAUAGUGGCAAGACAGACUACAAAGGUAACACACAGAUACUGUUCAAAUUAUAGGGAUUUAGGUAUGGAAAGAAAAAAAGAGAAAAUACAGAUUCCGAAUAAUAUUUUCUUGGGUAAAAAAAAUGACAUGAUGAAUGUGAUACAAAACACAAAUGCCUAUCUAUACUCAGGAAAUUCUAAAUUCAAAUUAAAUAAAACAAAUCAUGAAACUAUAACGAGAUAUGGAAACUAUUCCUCCAAUAUCACCUAAGAUAUUCUAAAAGAUAUAAUGUUGAUAUUACGGGAUAUUUUUCAUAUAUUCUAAUUUCUAAAGAUAUAAUUUAAAAACAAAUUGCUGUAAAGGCAGCAAAUGCUAGCACAUUACUUCAUAGUCUUGUCCCAGCUUCCUGUGACUAAAAGGUUCAUUUCAGGAAUCCAAGCAAGUUCUUUGAUGGGUGCAUCAUGCAUGGCAACAGUCAUUGGUUGGCCUCCAGAUAACAGAGGCCACAUCUUCACUUGCUUAUCA